Molecule: ribosomal RNA, 160 nt
Filed under: uncultured bacterium
Lineage: Bacteria
Description: partial 16S rRNA
Rfam family: Bacterial small subunit ribosomal RNA
Source: RNAcentral
UGGGGAAUUUUGGACAAUGGGCGCAAGCCUGAUCCAGCCAUGCCGCGUGAGUGAAGAAGGCCUUCGGGUUGUAAAGCUCUUUCAGCCGGAAAGAAAACUUAUUUGCGAAUAGCGAAUGAGGAUGACGGUACCGGAAGAAGAAGCACCGGCUAACUACGUG